Molecule: microRNA precursor, 110 nt
Filed under: Marmota monax (woodchuck)
Lineage: Eukaryota; Metazoa; Chordata; Mammalia; Rodentia; Sciuridae
Source: RNAcentral
AGUGCAAAUGUUGGGUUGUAUGUUGUAUGACUAAUGUAUGUUUAGGUUCUUAAGAAACUGUCAGACUUUUUCUCGGAAUGAUUGUACCAUUGUACAUUCCCACAAGCAAU